This 253-nucleotide ribosomal RNA is filed under the name uncultured bacterium. RNAcentral's name for it is "partial 16S ribosomal RNA". It matches the Rfam family "Bacterial small subunit ribosomal RNA", at positions 524 to 776 of the family's 1533-position model. The record is from RNAcentral.
UACGGGGGGGGCAAGCGUUGUUCGGAAUUACUGGGCGUAAAGGGUCUGUAGGUGGCUUGCUAAGUCAGACGUGAAAUCCCUCAGCUUAACUGGGGAACUGCGUCUGAGACUGGCGAGCUUGAGGGCAGGAGAGGAACGCGGAAUUCCAGGUGUAGCGGUGAAAUGCGUAGAUAUCGGGAGGAACACCGGUGGCGAAGGCGGUUCUCUGGGCCUGUACUGACGCUGAGGAGCGAAAGCGUGGGGAGCGAACAGG